RNAcentral lists this ribosomal RNA (518 nucleotides) under uncultured bacterium. Its description in RNAcentral is "partial 16S ribosomal RNA". It matches the Rfam family "Bacterial small subunit ribosomal RNA", at positions 29 to 523 of the family's 1533-position model. The record is from RNAcentral.
UACGAACGCCGGCGGCGUGCCUAACACAUGCAAGUCGAACGGGAAUGGUUCCUUCGGGAAUCUAGUACAGUGGCGCACGGGUGAGUAACGCGUAGGUGACCUACCAUUUGCUGGGGAAUAACCUCGGGAAACCGGAGCUAAUUCCGCAUAAGUCUGUCCACUCUGGUGGAUAGGGAAAGGGGGCCUCUCCUUGUAAGCUCUCGGCGAAUGAUGGGCCUGCGUACCAUUAGCUAGUUGGUAGGGUAACGGCCUACCAAGGCAACGAUGGUUAGCUGGUCUGAGGGGAUGAUCAGCCACACUGGCACUGGAACACGGGCCAGACUCCUACGGGAGGCAGCAGUGGGGAAUAUUGCGCAAUGGGCGAAAGCCUGACGCAGCAACGCCGCGUGGGCGAUGAAGGCCUUCGGGUUGUAAAGCCCUGUCAGAAAAGGCGAAACCUCGUCUGGAGUAAUACCCAGGCGAGUUGACGGUAUUUUCAGAGGAAGCACCGGCUAACUCCGUGCCAGCCGCCGCCGUAA